Molecule: long non-coding RNA, 1633 nt
Filed under: Fukomys damarensis (Damara mole-rat)
Lineage: Eukaryota; Metazoa; Chordata; Mammalia; Rodentia; Bathyergidae
Description: lncRNA (ENSFDAG00000028140.1)
Source: RNAcentral
UGCCUGACUCAUGUGAACAUGAGUUCCGUGAGGUCAUGCUUGUCCUUAAUGCCAUAUCCUUAAGUUACCAGGCAAUGCCUACAAUAGAAUAAAACCUCAUCCAGUAUUUAUUGAAUAAUUUAAAUGUACAGUCUUGAACACAAAUAGUAGCUUAUUUGCACUGAUCCAAAAAGUUCCUUCUCAGUAUUGUGUAGGAAAUGCAGCUAUAGACAUGAAAAAAGGGCAAAGCAAAAUUUAAAUUUGGGCGAAGGACUUUUUUUUCUUAGGAGUCUCAGUCUGAACAGCCCCUGAAAACUCACAAUGGGGCCUUUGUUCAUUCCUCUUCCAUCUUCUAGGGGUUUCAGGGCUUCUCUCCACCCCCAAAGCCUUCUACUUUUAAGUCCUAGCUUUCAAAGUCUGUGCUGUUACUCUGCUGCUCCAGCUAAGCUCGGCACUCUGCACUCCCAAGGCUUUUACAGCCAGAGCUUCACAGGUACAGCAUGGCUAGUAGCCACUGUGAGUGGUUGCUUAUGCCCACUGACCUUCAGCAGUCUGAGCUUCCGCAAGGCGCAAAAAUUGAAAAGCAACAUGGACUGCGAUAGGACAAUGAAGAUCGUUCCUCCCAGGAAGAAAUCCUCAGUCUCCCGCUCUAUAAAUACCCCAGCACUUCCUCUUCGCUCUCUCUCUGCCUUCCUGCCUCCUGCUCGCCUCCCUACAAUAAAGAUCUCCUGCUGGACCUCUUGGUGCUUGAGUGGCCUAAUUGGGAAGGGGCACCCGAAGGGGCACGCGACCCCUCUUUCAGGACAGUUGCCAUAUUUUUAGUCCAUGCCUUUUUAAUUAUAAUUUUAUAGCGCAUGCAGUUGUGUAAGAGUCUAACUGAACUAGAGAGACUCCAUGUUGACCAGCAAACGACCUAGAGACUGUUGCUCCCCCCAUCCCUUAUAGGAUAACUAAUGAUUAAUUAUGAAUUGUUAGGUAACUGCUUAGAAGUAGCUGGGAAACUAGUGAACAUAGAGACCCAACAUCAGUCACGCCACUCCUUACUUGCCUGUAGUUGAAUGUUCUGAACAUCACAAACUAAGUUGUAAAUGGAACAAUGGAUAAUCAAUCUGCUGAUCAUUAGUACAUAAUGGUCGAGUAUAUGACUGAUGACCAUCAGUUCAGAUCAACUCAUUCUUUGCCUUUGUCCCCUUCCUGUAAGUUUUGAGUGUAAACCCCCCUCCAUAGCCCUAUAUAAAAUAGCCUCUGUUUCUGAGCUAGCUGCCUCUCUGAGCUGCUUGGCUCUGGGAGUGCCGUCUGGCCAGACUAAUAAAGGUCUAUUUGCCAAUCUGCCUGGUGUGUUCCUGGGUGACUUGCUGUCCGACAAGCUCCUGGAGCCUCGCUGAGCUUUUGGGCCCAACAUCGUGAAGGCCUCUUGGCUGCCAUGCUCCAAGAGUAAAAGUGAGACUUUAAGUCUUACAGUUGCUUUAUUUAGAAUUUUAAGAAUGAAAACAUAGAUUAUCUGGAUCAGAACUCUCCUACAAAGAUUUUACUUCCUACAAGGUAAUGUGCCCAUGCUCAGGCCCCCAAAUAGGAGGAGAGCAAGGUUAGACUAAAGACAGCAAAGGCUCACAGAAAAAGCUUGCAGGCUCUAACCACUAACCUUAAAAGGUAC